Long non-coding RNA from Ornithodoros turicata, 833 nucleotides. RefSeq lists it as uncharacterized. The transcript has 3 exons. Lineage: Eukaryota; Metazoa; Arthropoda; Arachnida; Ixodida; Argasidae. The record is from RefSeq and is a predicted model, not a curated record.
ACAGUUGGCGAUCAUCCACUUCAACGAGAAUGCAGACCGUGUCCAGUUGGAGAGGGAAGGCGCGAAGCAGUACCGUCUCAAGGCAUUGAAGGUUAAGAAGACGUGGGUGGCUGUACCUCUGAAGGAGAGUGCUAGCUAUGGUUAUGCAUCAGCCUUGAUUGCUGAGGUGCUGACACGCAUUCAGGAGCACAGAAGGGAGUCUGGAGCUGUGGCAGCUCUGCCAACGCGGUCAUCAACAUAUGGUGAGAGGCCAAGCUUUACAGAAGCAGUCGUGAAGCAUCAGGCAAGGUUCCAGAAAUGAGGCUCCCACCUGCAUCACACACUGAACGUUGAAACUAAGCUAAAAAAAGGCCCUUUUCAGGGCCACCACAAGGUUUAUGCAGAGACAAGCGUUGCGUUAUGAACCCACCAAAGUGCACAUUAUUGUUUUUGGUCCAGCUGCAUACACUUUUCUGAAUUGUGUUGCUGAUUCAAAUGAACUGCUUUUUUUUUAAUUCCUUCUGUGGCUAUUAAUAGCAUCUAAUGAACUAUAUGCGCACCUGUGUGACUUUUAUUGGAAUUCCAGUUACAAUUUCAGCGCACAGAGGACACACUAAGGAUUCAAGAAUAUGGUGGUAUCGGGCUCCGAUAUGCAUAUGAUGGUAAGUUUUUUAUCUUUGUCUUAAAUCUGUGUUUUUACUUUUUUCAGCACAUCGAGCUCGCACUGCUCGUAUGGAAGAAAAGAUCCUGUUACCAUCCUGUCAACAUGAACCAUAAUGCCAGCUCCCUACAUAGCAACUGAAAAUAUAGCAAGAAUGAGGAAAUAAAAUGUACUAAAUACAAUCAGUUCUUGU